AAGGAAUAUUGCUCAAUGGGAGAAAUCCUGAAGCAGCAACGCCGCGUGGAGGAUGAAGGGUCUAUGACUUGUAAACUCCUGUAAAGAAGGAAAAAAUUCCCAUUUGAUGGGAGAUGAUGGUACUUCUGGAGUAAGCCCCGGCUAACUACGUGCCAGCAGCCGCGGUAAUACGUAGGGGGCAAGCGUUGUCCGGAUUUUCUGGGUGUAAAGGGUGCUCAGGCGGAUUUGUAAGUCAGAGGUGAAAUCUUACAGCUUAACUGUGAAACUGCCUUUGAUACUGCAAGCCUAGAGUAUGGAAGAGAGUGAUGGAAUAUCUGGUGUAGCAGUGAAAUGCGUAGAUAUCAGAUAGAACACCAAUGGCGAAGGCAGUCACUUGGUCCAUUACUGACGCUAAAGCACGAAAGCGUGGGUAGCAAACA
This 419-nucleotide ribosomal RNA is filed under the name uncultured bacterium. RNAcentral's name for it is "bacterial SSU rRNA". It matches the Rfam family "Bacterial small subunit ribosomal RNA", at positions 356 to 774 of the family's 1533-position model. The record is from RNAcentral.